This 1014-nucleotide ribosomal RNA is filed under the name Lacticaseibacillus paracasei. RNAcentral describes it as "bacterial SSU rRNA". It matches the Rfam family "Bacterial small subunit ribosomal RNA", at positions 56 to 1033 of the family's 1533-position model. Lineage: Bacteria; Bacillati; Bacillota; Bacilli; Lactobacillales; Lactobacillaceae. The record is from RNAcentral.
UGCAAGUCGAACGAGUUCUCGUUGAUGAUCGGUGCUUGCACCGAGAUUCAACAUGGAACGAGUGGCGGACGGGUGAGUAACACGUGGGUAACCUGCCCUUAAGUGGGGGAUAACAUUUGGAAACAGAUGCUAAUACCGCAUAGAUCCAAGAACCGCAUGGUUCUUGGCUGAAAGAUGGCGUAAGCUAUCGCUUUUGGAUGGACCCGCGGCGUAUUAGCUAGUUGGUGAGGUAAUGGCUCACCAAGGCGAUGAUACGUAGCCGAACUGAGAGGUUGAUCGGCCACAUUGGGACUGAGACACGGCCCAAACUCCUACGGGAGGCAGCAGUAGGGAAUCUUCCACAAUGGACGCAAGUCUGAUGGAGCAACGCCGCGUGAGUGAAGAAGGCUUUCGGGUCGUAAAACUCUGUUGUUGGAGAAGAAUGGUCGGCAGAGUAACUGUUGUCGGCGUGACGGUAUCCAACCAGAAAGCCACGGCUAACUACGUGCCAGCAGCCGCGGUAAUACGUAGGUGGCAAGCGUUAUCCGGAUUUAUUGGGCGUAAAGCGAGCGCAGGCGGUUUUUUAAGUCUGAUGUGAAAGCCCUCGGCUUAACCGAGGAAGCGCAUCGGAAACUGGGAAACUUGAGUGCAGAAGAGGACAGUGGAACUCCAUGUGUAGCGGUGAAAUGCGUAGAUAUAUGGAAGAACACCAGUGGCGAAGGCGGCUGUCUGGUCUGUAACUGACGCUGAGGCUCGAAAGCAUGGGUAGCGAACAGGAUUAGAUACCCUGGUAGUCCAUGCCGUAAACGAUGAAUGCUAGGUGUUGGAGGGUUUCCGCCCUUCAGUGCCGCAGCUAACGCAUUAAGCAUUCCGCCUGGGGAGUACGACCGCAAGGUUGAAACUCAAAGGAAUUGACGGGGGCCCGCACAAGCGGUGGAGCAUGUGGUUUAAUUCGAAGCAACGCGAAGAACCUUACCAGGUCUUGACAUCUUUUGAUCACCUGAGAGAUCAGGUUUCCCCUUCGGGGGCAAAAUG